Molecule: unclassified non-coding RNA, 1594 nt
Filed under: Eufriesea mexicana
Lineage: Eukaryota; Metazoa; Arthropoda; Insecta; Hymenoptera; Apidae
Description: rhotekin-2-like, transcript variant X1
Source: RNAcentral
CUUACUUUAUAUUAAUCACUGUCUUAUGAAUAUCUAUAUAUCAAAUAUAUCUUUCGAAUUUUCAAGAAAUUUAUUUAACACUUUUUAUAUUUCAUGUUGCACGAGUUUGUAAGUUCGUAAAAUUAAUUUUUCGUACAAAAUAAUUUUCCCUUAUUUUUUCCUUCUAUGUGUGCUUUUCGUCCAUAUUUUUCUAUAAUGGCUGAAAAACCGUUACUAUUGAAGGUAUAAAAUGAAGUUUCAAAAUGGCGCCACGUAAAAAAAAUGGGACGCUACGACGUGGUCUAUCAAGUAAUUCUUCAGAGGAAGAACAUAAUUAUUUGCGUUCGUUAAAUGAUUAUCAGGCACGAGUUCGAAGACGGGAAAGUAUUCGAAAUUGUAAAAAUGUAGCGGAAUAUGAUUUAGAGCAAAAAAUAGAAUUAGAAACUAAAAUAAAAGAAGGCUCUGCAAGACUGUUAGCUGCUGCACGACACCCUGCACAAUGUUUGGAAGCAGCACGUGCCUUGUUUACCUCAAGCAAAAGAAUGUUUACCUAUAUGAUUGAAUUAGAACAUCAACGAAGAGAUGCAUCAUUGAAAACGAUCACUUCAGAAAGUAAAGGAAAGUUAUCUAUCUCAGAUCUUAGAUUUCCUUUGAUGUGGAAAGAUUCUGAUCAUUUUAAAAAUCGCGGAGAUUAUCGAAGAUUUGCAAUAUUUUGUAUAGUUCGAGUUGGCGCAGAAGUUCAUGAUACAAGCUUACUUUUUCCCAUUGAUAGAAAACAAACGGAUAUUAGCUUUCCUGACGUUUUAUUAUUCCAUAAUGUAUCAGCUGAAUUUGAAUUGUCUUUAGAAGUUUAUAGUCAUAUUUUACAAGAGGAUCUCAGCAUUGCCAGUACUCCGAGAAAAAUUAGAAGAACUAUUCAUUCUUCAAUUUCAAAAACUGUAGGUAGAACAUUCGCAGCAACUCUACGAGAUGAAUAUGUGUCUAAUAAAGCACCGCAAUUUGAGUUGAUGGCAUACGCAAAGAUGACACUUGACGAUACCGAUGGGGACAUACGUUCACAUGAACUAAUAUUAAAUAAUUUUGCGAAUAAAGUUCACACCUUGCCACUUUUUGGACAUUUUUGUUGUCGCUUAGCUGUUCAACCGUACUACAUCGAUAAAGAAGUUUGCGCCGGAUUCGCAAUUGUAAAUAGUCAACGAUGUUGGAUACGAUUACAGGGAUUUCAAUUGCAAGCUUGGAAAUCAAAAAAAUGUUUAGAAAAGUUACAAACUCCUGUUUGUAUAAUUUGUAUAAACAAGAAAACCAUCGUUCGCCAAUCAAAAGCAGUAAAAAAUCAAUUACGGAUAAUCAAUUAUAUAAAUGGUAAUGAGAAGCGCGAUAUUGUAGAAUUAUACUCAAACGAAGAUGUUCAGAAAUGGUUUGAGCAAUUAACAAUGUGCAUUAAAGAAAAUGCCAAGUGGAAACAUACAGUGAUAACAGUUCAACAAAUUCCAAAUUGUGAGAAUUCGAAUGAAGAUACAAAUAUACAAAUAUAAAAAAUUCUUUUGAUGAUAACAAAUAACAAAAAUCUUUCUAUUACGAAACGCCAUUAAUAGGAAUCAACUAUCCUAAAUAU